This 369-nucleotide long non-coding RNA is filed under the name Pelobates cultripes (western spadefoot toad). The record is from RNAcentral. Lineage: Eukaryota; Metazoa; Chordata; Amphibia; Anura; Pelobatidae.
AAAAAAAAACUGGUUUCACUUUCAAACAGAUGUAAUUUACCUUAAAUAAUUGUAUCUCAAUCUCUAAAUUGAACUUUAAUCACAUUCAGGAGGCUCUUGCAGGGUCUAGCAAGCUAUUAACAUAGCAGGGGAUAAGAAAAUCUUAAUUAAACAGAACUUGCAAUAAAGAAAGCCUAAAUAGGGCUCUCUUUACAGGAAGUGUUUAUGGAAGGCUGUGCAAGUCACAUGCAGGGAGGUGUGACUAGGGUUCAUAAACAAAGGGAUUUAACUCCUAAAUGGCAGAGGACUGAGCAGUGAGGCUGCAGGGGCAUGUUCUAUACACCAAAACUGCUUCAUUAAGCUAAAGUUGUUCAGGUGACUAUAGUGUCC